GCUAAGAAUAUUCCGCAAUGGACGAAAGUCUGACGGAGCGACGCCGCGUGGAUGACGAAGGCCGAAAGGUUGUAAAGUCCUUUUGUCGAUGAAGAAUAAGGGUAGGAGGGAAUGCCUGCCUGAUGACGUUAGUCGGCGAAUAAGCCCCGGCUAAUUACGUGCCAGCAGCCGCGGUAACACGUAAGGGGCAAGCGUUGUUCGGAAUUAUUGGGCGUAAAGGGUACGUAGGCGGUUUGGUAAGCCCGGCGUGAAAUCCUGCAGCUUAACUGUAGAGCUGCGCUGGGAACUGCGAAACUUGAGUCAUGGAAGGGGAGGUAGAAUUCCAGGUGUAGGGGUGAAAUCUGUAGAUAUCUGGAAGAAUACCGGUGGCGAAGGCGAACUCCUGGCCAAUGACUGACGCUGAGGUACGAAAGUGCGGGGAGCAAACAGGAUUAGAUACCCGAGUAGUCC
This 450-nucleotide ribosomal RNA is filed under the name uncultured bacterium. RNAcentral's name for it is "partial 16S ribosomal RNA". It matches the Rfam family "Bacterial small subunit ribosomal RNA", at positions 354 to 796 of the family's 1533-position model. The record is from RNAcentral.